CGCCUCCAUCUACACUUGUUGGGAACCCAAUCUGCCUUUUCUGCUUCUUGUUGUUUGUUUUUUUUGUGUGUGUGUAGGGCAACGAGAUUCCUGAUUGCAGAUAUCGUAGUGUGAUGUCGUCGGUUCUACGUGAGAUUUUGAGAUCCAUCUUGAAGUUUUUCUUUCCACCACUUUAUUUAUUUUAUUCUCUGAAAAGCUUCCUCGAUUUCUUUUUUAUUCCGUGCCGAUGAUGAUUUACUAUUUCAAGUUGAAUUCGUUGAGAGAUUUGUGAUGUUCUUGAGGCGUUCAACUGAGGCCCGGCCGAACUGGAAUUUUAAUUAUUGCUUUGUGGUGCAUUGAAAUCUUGGCUUUAAUUUCAGUACCACAAAAUUAGACUUGUAUUCGUCUCAAUCUUUUUUAUUUUCCUUCCGAUUCUUAUUCGUCUAUUGUUUGUCCCUCAAAUGUGCUAAUGAUGCCGAAUUCUAUCUACGGUGAUAUGCACUGGAGACGUUCAACUAUGAGGCACGCCGCACACUGCUUGCUUCCUCCAUUUUGUAAUAUUUCCCUGCUUGCUUCCUCCAUUUUGUGUGGGGGUGAAACCAGGAAUGUUUGAAGCCCAUCCACUUCUACUGGUUCUGAUCUUUAGAUUUGAAGAUUCAAUCAGAAUCUUUUUUCUGUUACACGUGAGCGGCGGCUGCCAAGGAUCCGAUUCAGAACAAGUCGUAUAGGUGUGUUCAUCUAUUUUUUAUUUUCUACUUUUUUCCUUUACCUUUUUAUUUUAUUUCUUAUUUUCGUUUUUCAUCUAUUUUUAUUCAGAACAAGUCCACUUCUAUGUGUUUUUUAGUAUUAUUUUUAUUUUUUAUUCUUCUUUCACAUAACUUAUAUGCACACAAAUAUAUCAAAAAACGGUGAUUAUGGUUAAAAUUUCACCAUAUUCGCAUCCACAGAGUAAAAUCCUACGCACUCACAAGGCAAGUGCACCCUCCCUCUAGCUCCGCCACUGUAUGCACAAGUUGUAUAGAAUAAUUUAUGUAUACAAAUUGUGUUUGAUAACUUUUGUACAUAAACUUGUUUCAUAACUUUUAUGUUUUCAAGUUAAGUGGUAUAAGUUAUAAGUUAAUUCGUUCUUGCUAUGUUUUUUAGUUUUGGCGUAAGUCAUAAGUUGAUUCGUUCAUUUGUGUUUAGUAACUUUUAUACAUAAGUUGUUUCAUAACUUUUAUACAUAAGUUUUGAUAUAAGUCGUAAAUUAGUAUAUGCUGUAAUUUAGUACACAUAAAUUAUUACUAGAAUAAAAUUCUUUGAAAUAUAGGUCUAGUUUUAAUCACCUCAUUGUGUAGAAUACAACGGUGCAUAUAGAAUUAAAAAAUAGAUAUAACGUUCAGAAAGAUACCAUUUAAAGUUUUUUUUUCUUUAAUUUUCAAGGUGCCAUCAGGAGACUGGCUGCAUGCAGUAGUUGCUCGGCGCGUGCGCGCAUGUGAAAAAGAGAAUGACUGUAGUGCAGGGCGGUGGUGCUAUAAAAAAAAGAGAGGCAACGGUGGGCUUAUCCUCUUUGAUGGGCCUAUGUUUGGGCCACAAGCCCACGAGUCUCCCCGCUGGAGCAGGCAGCUUACGUCACUACGCCGCGGGCGCCGCGGCGGCCAGGCCAUUCCGUGAAGCGAGCUGCGGAGGCGGAGGCUUUGUCGGAGGCGACGAUCGGCGGCAGGAGGCUUGACGGAGGCAAGGCGUACGCCGCUCCUUUCCUGAGGAGCCUUAAGCUCACGGCGGCCGCCGGCUGGAGCAAACAACCACCAAGCUCACCAACCCUAGCCGGCUACCCCGACCGCAAGUUCACCACCAUAUGUUGGAAUGAGAGAUGCAGACAAGCAGUAGUAUGUUGGGCUCUGGUUUUCUCGAGUUCAAGCUUAACUACGCGCAAAUCCAUCACCUCGGCAUUGGGGACGUGGUCAGCUCCGAGAGCUUCUCCGCCGGGGGUUUCCUGUGGAGGAUUAACUGCUACCCGCGUGGGGACAAGGUAGAUGGCGACAACGAGCACCUAUCAAUCUACCUGCAGCUGCUGACCAAAUCCAAGAACGUCAGAGCCAUCUUCGAUGCUUCCGUGGUGUGCAGAGAUGGCACGCUGUCUUCUUCAGAUGCGCUCAGGUCCGUGGAGGUUUACCCACCCAGGGGCGGCAUCGAGCUGGGGUGGAAACGCUUCGUGAAGCGAAGUGAUCUCGAGUUGCUCUAUGUGAUUAAUGGCAGGGUCACAAUCUUGUGCGGGGUCAUAGUCAUUGACAGCACCUUGCCUGUGCCGCCGCAGCCUGACUUAGCAAGCCAUCUGGGCCACCUACUGGAUUCCGCUUUGGGGACAGAUGUGUCUUUCGUCGUCGGCGGUGAGGUGUUCCAUGCUCACCGUGCUGUGCUCGCAGCCCGAUCACCGGUCUUGAAAGCGGAGCUCUUUGGCGCAAUGGCAGACGCCGCAAUGCCAUCCAUCACGCUGCACGAUAUCGAGCCUGCUGCAUUCAAAGUUAUGCUCCAGUUCAUGUACACCGAUGCCUUGCCUUCGGAUGACGAGCUUGGAGACCCUCUCACUGAGAUGAUGAUGCAUUUGCUUGUUGCGGCUGACCGAUUUGCACUGGACCGUCUCAAGGUUAUUUGUGAACUCAAGCUAUGUGAGAAUGUCUCAGUCCAAACAGUUGCUUCUGUUUUAGUUUGCGCUGAGACGUACGGCUGUCCAAAGUUGAAGAGAGAGUGCAUGGACUUCUUUGCUGUGAAGAGAAAUUUCAUGAAGGCAGUGGCCACAGAUGGUUUUCUCAUGCUGUUGCAGAAAUUCCCAACACUUGCUGUUGAUCUGGCAAGGACGGUGGGGUUGUAGAAUGCUUAAAUCUCCACAUAUAUAUAGUUCAGAAGUUCGACUAUAUAUUUACUAGUGUUUUGGAAUCCCAGUGAGCACUAUCUCGUCUCCCUUAAUUUGGAGCAUAUUAGAGUAUGGAGUGCUUGAUGAACAGAGAGCCUGUUCUUUCAGCUAUACUUCUUGUAUUACUGCUUGAAGUUGCUGCAAUCUGAUAUAUGGAGAUGUAUCAAGUCGAGUUGCUACCAAGUGACAUAUGCAGUUUCGAUGAAGUUGCUGCCUACUGAUAUAUCAUGUCUUAUGAUGUUUCGAUCAAGUGCCGUAGGCAGACGUGCAGUUUCAAUGAACUUCAAGCCAACUGAUACAUUCAGUGCUCAAUUAAGUUGUUGCCAAAGUACCAAGUGAUGCCGCUAAGCGAAGCGAGGUGGGUGAUAAGGCAGUGCUCAAUUAGCCUAUAUGUUGUUCCUUUGGGGUUUCUUUUUGCUCUUGGGCUUGUCCUGUCCUGAACCUGGUUUCUGUUUUACAGCUCUCAAGAUGUAUAUUUCCUCUCACUAAGCUGAUAUCUGUCUAACUAUAUGUGAUCCUAGUUAAUUGCUGUUUGAAAGGUUGCUGGUGGCUUUGGCUUACCUCUUGAAUCUUGAUCCCACCAAAACUUUGUCUUCCCUUCCAGCUUGUUGCAGAUCUACGUCAAUUUCUAGAAUCAGAUUUGGGCUCUGACAGGCGUCUUUGAUUUGUUAAGUUUUAUUAGCUGUUCAAAUCGAUUGCUAUGGAACUUUGUUGCUUUGAUGUUCUUGUUGCUGCUUGCUCCUUGUGUGUGGAUUUCAAGCAUGGAAUUAACAUUGUGUUGUUCA
Molecule: RNA transcript, 3657 nt
Organism: Sorghum bicolor (sorghum)
Lineage: Eukaryota; Viridiplantae; Streptophyta; Magnoliopsida; Poales; Poaceae
Gene name: BTB/POZ and MATH domain-containing protein 1
Exons: 4
Source: RefSeq, a predicted model, not a curated record